This 719-nucleotide ribosomal RNA is filed under the name Pseudovibrio sp. AU234. Its description in RNAcentral is "bacterial SSU rRNA". It matches the Rfam family "Bacterial small subunit ribosomal RNA", at positions 92 to 847 of the family's 1533-position model. The record is from RNAcentral. Lineage: Bacteria; Pseudomonadati; Pseudomonadota; Alphaproteobacteria; Hyphomicrobiales; Stappiaceae.
UUAGUGGCAGACGGGUGAGUAACGCGUGGGAAGCUACCUUGUGGUAGGGGACAACAGUUGGAAACGACUGCUAAUACCCUAUGAGCCCUAUGGGGGAAAGAUUUAUCGCCAUGAGAUGUGCCCGCGUUAGAUUAGCUAGUUGGUAAGGUAAUGGCUUACCAAGGCGACGAUCUAUAGCUGGUCUGAGAGGAUGAUCAGCCACACUGGGACUGAGACACGGCCCAGACUCCUACGGGAGGCAGCAGUGGGGAAUAUUGGACAAUGGGGGCAACCCUGAUCCAGCCAUGCCGCGUGUGUGAUGACGGCCUUAGGGUUGUAAAGCACUUUCAGCAGUGAAGAUAAUGACAUUAACUGCAGAAGAAGCCCCGGCUAACUUCGUGCCAGCAGCCGCGGUAAUACGAAGGGGGCUAGCGUUGUUCGGAAUCACUGGGCGUAAAGAGUACGUAGGCGGACUGAUAAGUUAGGGGUGAAAUCCCAAGGCUCAACCUUGGAACUGCCUUUGAUACUGUCAGUCUUGAGAUCGAGAGAGGUGAGUGGAACUCCGAGUGUAGAGGUGAAAUUCGUAGAUAUUCGGAAGAACACCAGUGGCGAAGGCGGCUCACUGGCUCGAUACUGACGCUGAGGUACGAAAGCGUGGGGAGCAAACAGGAUUAGAGACCCUGGUAGUCCACGCCGUACACGAUGAAUGCUAGUUGUCAGGUAGCUUGCUAUUUGGUGAC